UCACUGGGUAGCUCAGUCGGCCAGAGCAUGGUGCUGACAACACCAAGGUUGUAGGUUUGACAGCUGCAUAUUCCUGCAUUGCACUCUAUGAU
Podarcis lilfordi (Lilford's wall lizard) is the source of this 92-nucleotide non-coding RNA. The record is from the annotation of a GenBank genome assembly. Lineage: Eukaryota; Metazoa; Chordata; Lepidosauria; Squamata; Lacertidae.